GUAAACGCUUAGCACCUAAUAUCUUCUCCUUUACUAAAGCACUUUCAGGACUUAGACACAUGGGGUGAUUUUGUUAACAACUCAUUCAUAAUUUUUGAAGAAAUUGUUUAACGCCUUAUUACAAACAUUGCGGUUUCUUAAAUAAUUUUAGACUAUAGUUAAAAAGGCAAUGGAUAUGUUCAGAAAGAUAAAACCAAAGAACACAAAAAGUAUUGAAAAACACUUGGGACACGAAAGUAAGUAUGCAUGCAACACCUGCAACACCUGUCAAACUUGUUUGUCUGUUUAUUACUUUAGCAUAUCUUAUCUGAGUCAUACAUAAGUCUCUACUCUUAUAUACCAGUAUAUAGAACAGAAGAAAUAAUUUUAAACAUGAAGCUAGUGUUAGAAGUUUCUUUUUAGUUCAGAAUUUUUAUUGGGAAAACACUAACUGUUUGGUAUCCAUUGCAAGCAAGUAUUCAACAGAUAAAAACAAGUUCAUCAGGUCUUUAAGAAUCUUGGAGUCCAUUCACCCAAAAUUAUGUUCACCCCAUUUCACAAUUCAACAUUGCUUGAUCGCAGCUGUUUUAAAGAAGUAAAUUGAUUUGACAUGCUUUUAAUAAGUGUAUUGCUAUAGAUUACAGAUACAUUUUUUUUCUGAAUGUUUACAAUUGCAAAUAAUAAGGCACUAAUUUGAAAUGUAACAAUAAUAAAACAUCCUUUGUGUUAUUAAAAUGUUUACAAGUUGUUUUGAUAUUUAUUAUUGUGUAUGCAUACUAAAGUUGAGAAAGAUAUAGCUUGACAAUCAUGAAUGCAUGUUACAGCUUGUACAUGAUUAUGUGUUAUUACAGAAAAAAAACAUCUGUUAUAACUACAAAUGUAGGAUGAUAUUCCAGCUACAAAUCAGGUCUCGACAAUAACACUUGUCUGAUUGUCCGGUACCAGAGGGAAAAAAGGUCGGACAAGUAAAAGCUGUAUCAAGCUUGUCCGUUGGGACAAGUGCAAUUAUUCUGCAGAAAAUAAAUUUAAUCCAAUUUUGAUGAACAAAGUAAUUAUAAACAAAAAACAAGAAAAACAAAUAUUAAUUUGACAUAUUUCUGUACUCUGUUUAUUCAAGUGCAAAACCUUUUUCUUUGACAUGUUUACUUUCAAUCGAUCGAUAAUUUUAUAACAGGUUCUUUGUCAAGUACAUUUUAAUAUUGGUAAAAGAUAUACUAUUCUUGAAACCAGUCUUUCUAAUCCGAAUCAAUGAUGCGCUUUGUAGAUAAGGGGACGACAUAUUUGAUAUUCUGGGAGGGGGGGGGAGGGGGGCAGGAGGAUUUUGAAAAUGAAUACUCUCAGCCUUGAUAAUCACAAAAAAUAAAUGGUUUGUUCGGUAGGUAGUUUGAAAAUAAAUAACCUGACUUACAAUGUAUUGAAAAUAAAUAACUCAGCAGGUCUAAUCGAAAGUAUGAGAUGGCAUCAGAUUCUUCAUAAAAUUCAUCUUUUUCCCCAAAAAAAUUGGGAAACACUUCCCAAAUCUUUUAACAAUAAAAGUAUAAAUAUUAUCAAAUAUACUUGAAAUGUCUGAAAAUGGGUUUCAUUUAACUUGAGGUAUAUUGUCUCAGGAACACUUACCUCAGUCACUUUUAUUACAGGGAAGUAACUUCAUUGAGGCAAAGAGGCUCAUGUAGGAAAUUUCAAAACCAAAAGCUUAUCUAUAUAAUUUGUUUUCACUGAGAGCCUUCUUGCAAGAAAAAAGUUCUGUUCUCCUUGGACAUUGCCCCUGUUUUUUCAGAAUCAAUGUUUCUUAUUUAUUUGUCUUUUGUUCAUUCUGUAUUCUGUUAGUUAGUGUUGCAUUCCUUUUGUAAUUUAGUAAUUUUGUCAUUAACUUAAUCAUGAGUUUAAAAAAAACCAACAGCAGUCACAUACUUAUGAGAAUUACAUUUUUGCUUUAUUCUACAUUUUGGUCUUUUAAUGUUGUCCCUAAAAACUUAAUUCUUACACUGAAUCUACACAUUUUGCUUUGAGACCAAAAUAUUGUCAAAAAAUGAUUACAGCAGAACUUGCAUUUUCAGAUUAAAAAAAGGUCUGGGAUUAACGAAAGCAUGAUUUAGCAUCAUUUGUUCUAUAGCUUCUUGGGGCCUUCAGCAGCAUCAAAACCCUUCCAAAAAAACUUUGCCUCGCUCCACUCGGCAAAAUAGGUUUGCCAAGAAUUAAUAAAAUGGCAAGUUGCAGCAAAACUUUAAUACUGUGUAUGUAUGAAAUACAUGUGUACGCAGUUGGCAAGAUUCAUUCCUGCAGAGGAUAAUUAAUUCUAAUUAAAUGGUACUUCAAGUUAAUGACAAUGAUUAUACAUAAUAGUUACAUGUAUUAUUUAUAACAUGUAUAAUAAAGUUCAUUUAUAAAUUGUAUGUUUUUAAAUAUUAUAAAUAUAGUUGUAAAAAUGAAUUAUCAGUCCAUUGUUUUAAUGAAAAUGAAAAAUCUUGCUUCAACAGUGCAGAAAAAUACAUAACUGAUCCAAAACAUUUUUGGACCAAGACAAAUCAGUACCUCAUUUUGCUACCUUAUUCUGUUCCUUAUAAUAAACAUGAUAAUACCAUACCCGUAAUUUUUUCACAAAAAUAUUUAUUUUUAAAAGAAAUUUUUUGGACAAGUAACAAUUUCAUUCGGACAAGUAAAUUUUAGUAUGUACUUGUCCUACAGGACAGGUUGAAAAAAAAGUUAUUGUAGAGGCCUGCAAAUGUACAUGUUCUCUACAUCAUCACUUCAAAGCCUUUCUGAGACAUCUAGCAUGUUUAAAUUAUUCCCAAUGUAUUUUAAUUAUUGUAAUAAAAAAUAAUCAGAGCAUAACAUAAGGUACAUGUACUAUGUACAUAUGUAAGCUUCAAAGUAAUUCCCGUUUCCCAUUCUGAAAUUAAUAAUAUGCCAAUGUACCAGUCUUUUACCUUUUUAUCUUUUACUAAGGCCAAAGACGUAUAAUUGUAUUAUACAUGUUAUAUGUCUCUUCUUGGGCUAAUGAUGACUUUUCCAUUCUGUAAAAGUUUAUUUUUUACUGAAGUUUACAAAUCAAUUUUAAAACAUGCAUGCUUUAUAAAGUAAACCAAACUUUCUUAACAUGUAAAAUAUUUAUUAAAUUAGAAUAACAAAAAGGUUCAUUGUUGAUCAUAAACACAGUUAAAAAGUAUUUCAUUGUAAUCAGAAUGUAAUCAAAAAGUAAUCAGGAUUACAGGGUAUUUUGAAAAGUGAUUGAUUAAAUUAAAUUACAUGUAAUCAGAUUUUUGGCUGAUUAAUGAUGACAAUGAAUACUUGCAAAAUUGUUGAUUAACAAUUACAAUUACAAUUAACCCAUGUCUGAUGUACCUUAUUUAGUAUUUUAAAAUGUACCAGUAUUGUUUCACUUGUGCUUUUUUUUUCCCAUCUUUAAUUGUUUAAAAAUAAUCAUUGUAAUCAUUGUUUAUAAAUUCAAUUGUAAUCAUUCAGCUCAGCUUUGGGCGCUGCGAUUAUUCUAUUCUAUUCUAAGUAGUUGAGGAACACAUAUUUUAACAUUUCCUAAUCAUAUCAAUUUUAAGUGUCAGUACGUGUAUCUAUAAUGUACUGUCAUAUGGGAAAUCCCCCAUAAUUAGGGAAGUUUAUGAAUCUGAUCACAGUAUCCAGAAAAGUUUCCUGUUAUCAUGGUUAUGAUGGUUAUGUACGUAAUUAUUUGCAUUUUGCAUAUAUUGAAUAAUAUUUUGUAUGAAACAUGUAAAAUUCAAAUAUUUUUUGUGGUAUGUAGUAUAUUUUAAUUCACAUUGAGGGUGGGUGGUAUAAUUUUAAAAACCAUUAAUUAAUAUCUUUUGUAUUUUUUUUAUCUGCUGCCUUGUCAGAACUUGGAGAGGGUUGGAGUGAGAAUAAAGAAGCUGUUUCUGACGGUCUGACAUUUCAUUUGAAGUACAUAGGAUCUACACUUAUUGAAGAAGCUGCUGAUGGAGAGAGCUAUCGAGAUGGUCAGAGUGAAAAAGCUGUCAAUAGUAUUGUUGCCAUGGUAUUUAAAAUUUAAUUAGAUCUGCUUAUAUACGGGAUUCAUUUGCAUAAUGAACAUUUAAAAGUUAAUGUCUAAAAAAAAAAUUUGUCAUUUGAUUAUUGCCUCAUUUUGCAAACAACUAUCUUUACCACGUUAACAUCAUAUCAUACAAUUUUCAUAUAUGCUAUAUUUAUACUGCAAUUUUACAUAUUUGCACCAAAGCUAAAAGUUUUAAACUGGUUUUUACUUCCUUUUUGAAUGAAAUCAUUAUGUCAGAUAGAUGGACCAUGAUAAGGAACCCCUAAUUCAAAUAUGAUGUUCAUGUAAACAGUAAUUUGAAUACAUGUACCGGUACAUGUAUAACCAUGAUAACUCACAAAAAGCAGGAUACCAAGAGACUAGAAUCGCUUCUUGUUAUCUGUACCCCUGUAUUUGUAUAUUUCAAGGUUGGUUACAGUAUUAAUAAUGAUCAUGGUUAACUUUAUGUCUGUUUGUCUAACUUAUUUGAUUUUCUUAUCUGCACUGUUAAGUGCACAUUGAUUUGUAUCCACUUCUAUGUCCAAUUUGAAUCUAGUAAAAUUUUCUCAGAAUUUCCACAAUAUAAUUUUUUGAUUUUCCUUAGCAAAUCAAGGACUUGUCAUUGCUUACCUAGGAAUACUUUAAGUGUACUUGAUUCAGACCCCUUAUUAUUAUGAUUUAGUGUAACUAUUAGAAUUCAUAACAUAAAUUACCAUUUUGCAACUUCUCUCCUUUUUAUUAUGAAAAGCAAAAAUGACUUCAGUCUACAAAUGUACAUACCGGUAAGUUACCCUACUACAUGCGUUAUAGUUAUCUAUUAUCUUUUUUUUGCUAUUGGAUAUCAGAUACAUGUAUAUCAUGUUAAAAAAAAGACAUUAAAUGGAGACAUUUACUUUAUAAAUUUGGAAAUUAUUGCGUGCAUUUAUUAUUGCAAAUUUGUCAUUUUGGACUAAAAAGUGAUUUUAAUUUAGCAAUAUUGAGAAAAAUCCUGUUUAGUUCAUAUAAAAUAUUUCAAAAUGCGAGUUUUAAUCAUUGCGAUUAUAACCCUGUCACAUUUUUAGCAAUAAUAAAAUCAUCGCAAUAAUUUCUGAAUUUGCAGUAAUCUACAUCCACUUAGUUUUUUUUUUGAAGCCUAACACCAUUACGUCUAAUUACAUGAACAUGUAUGUUUACUUCCUCGUGACUUUAGAUAUAUAUAAUCUUACCAAACACAUCCUGUCAAUGUUAUCAUCAGGAAACAAUGUUAUGUAUUAUACUAAAUUAAGUGGUUUUAUACAAUAUGGAAACUGAGAUAAAAAUCUGCCAACAUGCACUUUGCACCAACUCUUAAUAAAGGUUUUGACGCAUUGUUUUACAUGUGCCAGUAUCUGAAAAAAAUACUUUUAAAGACCAUGUUAAAUCUGACACCAGCAACAAAUGACAAAAUCAAAAGCUCAAAGUCUCAAACACUUUUUAAACAAUUGGAAAACAGCUGUCAUAUAUACAUGAUAUAGGAGUUGAUGAGGGUUUGGAUCAAGGGUUAAAUGAUUAAAGAAUAAUGCCCUUAAAAAAUGAAGAUAAGAGAAUAAUGGGCAAAAAAAAUGAAAAUUAGAGAAAAAAGGGGUUAAUUUUUUGAAGAUUAGAGAAAAAAAGGGUUAAUUUUUUAAUGAUUAGAGAAAAAAGGGGUGAAAAUUAAAUGUUUACAGAAUAACAGACCCCCCCCUAUCCAGACCCUUGUUGAUGGUUCAAGUUACAAAAAAUGUGAAUCAACUUUCAUGCAAUAUGCAUACUCAAAUAUAUUAUGUACUUAAUUAACUAAAUUGAUAAUCAAAUAUUAAAUAUCCAUAUUAGACAUUUUUAUUUCGAAUACAUUAGUUUUAUAUUGUAUAAUUAUUCUAUUCUCAGGCAAAGACGGCUAAAAGUAAAUUAAGAAAAGUAACACUGACAACUUCACCAGAGGGUAUGAAAGUUUUAGACAUGGCCUCAAAAGAAUUGUUGAUUGAAUGUAGUAUAUUUAGGUAGGUAUAUAAUUCUUGACAAAAGAAUUACAAAAUCAUUCAGGUAUUCAAAUUCCUUAUCUGGAGUAAUUUUCAUUCCCAACACUUUAAGAAUCAGAAAAACUUAUUAUAGCUUUUUAUGUGCUAAAUACUUAAAUUUAUUUGAUAAUAUGAAUGAAAGAUAUCAGGUUAGAUUAUGAAAGAACAAGAUACAUGGUAUGACAUUAUGUACCAGUAGUUAGGUUUCUUAAUUUAGAUAGUUUUAGCAAACAGUCAACUAUAUAAGAUGACUGGAAUAAAUGUAAGCCGACUUACCUAUACUUAUCUCAAUCUGAUGUUGAACUCAUUUCCAUAGAUUGUUGCAAUUGAUAUGUCUCUGUUUGUGUGAUCCUUGUUUAAAAAAACUUGAUCAAAAAGUCAUGAUUAGUAAAGCAAAGGAAACUUUUGACUUUGCACCUGGUUAUAUUAUGAUAUUAUGUAUAUAAAACUAAGAAGAUUUGGUAUAAUUGCCAAUGAGACAGGUUUCUUCCAGAGACCAAACCAACCAUAUAAAGUAACAACUAUUGGUCAUCAUACAGUCUUCAAUCAAUGACCAAAACUUACAGUGCAUAGUCGCUAUAAAAGGCUGUGCAAUGACAAAUGUAAACAAUUUGAACAAAUCAUGUCAUAGUUGUUUAUUUGAUCAAUUUUGUGUUGGACCUUUAUCAGGACUCUGGGAUAGUUUGUUUUUAAGCUCUAAAUUUCGGGAUUAAUUCGUUCGGGAUCCGUAAAUUCUUUUUUCGAAUUUCAGGAUGUCGGUUUUGAAAUAUCUUUAAAUUCAGAACCUCUGGAUUUCAUGUUUUUAACCUCGAGAUUUAGGGGAAUUCAUGACUCCUCCGACCCCUCCUCUUUAAUGAAUUUUUAAUAUUUUUCAGAAUAUCUUUUUGCUCUGCUGACAAAAACCAUGAAAAAAUAUUUGCCUUUAUGGCAAGAAAUAGCAUUAAUGAAACUAUGGAGUGCCAUGCUUUUCUGUGUGCGAAGAGAAAAAUUGUAAGUAUUUUUUUGUCUACAUAUUUUGAUUUUAUGAUUUGUUUUAAAAUGUUCUGGUACACAAUAUUGCUCAAGGAAGGCACAUGCUAAAAAGAGGAACAUAUCAGGUACAAGAGAUUUAUUAACAAAUGAAUGCCUGGUUACCUGUACAAUUUUUCACUAGAUUAAUUAAAAGAUUAAUUGCCAAAAUAGUCACACAUAUGUAAUUUAUUUGAAUAUAUCCGUAAAUAUAAAUGGAAUGGAAAUGGGGAAAAUGUCAAAAAGACAACAACCCGACCAAAGAGCAGACUACAGCGGAAGGCCACCAAUUGGUCUUAAACACAACGAGGAAAAUCCUGCACCCGAAGGUGGUCCUAAGCUGGCCCCUAAUUGCAAUUGUGUACUAGUUCAGUGAAAAUGGAUGUCACACUAAACUCCAAAACAUAUAAAUGAACUAGAAUUAAAAAAACCACAAGACUAACAAAGGCCAAAGGCUCCUGACUAAAACAAAUCUAUUUUAUUGUUACAGGCACAAGCAGUUACAUUGACAGUGUCCAAAGCAUUCGAAUUGGCCAGUGAAAAAUGGAAUACAGAAAAUGAAAAUAAAAAUUCUGUAAGUUAAACAUUUCAUCAGAUAUUCAUUUUGAGGUGCCAUUUUUAGUAAUUUUAGCAGAUAGAAAGAAUUUAAAAGUCUUAGAUUAUGGACAUGUCAACAUUUAAGACCACCAAAGAUUUAAAAAAAAAAAAUUCUGGUUUGUUGUUCCAGGCUAGGGUUAUGGGACUUUUAACAGUUAUUGUACAUAUGUUUCUGUACACCUAAGGGUAUCCUCAUAUAGGUUUUUGUGAAGAGUCAUUUUUAUUUACCUGUGAUUAUAGAUGCCUUUUAUUCAAUUUCAAUAAGCACAAGACAGACUUAUCAUGCUCUCUUGGCAUAGCAUUUUGUUAUCCAAAGUUCAUUGAAGAAUUGGUAAAGUUAGUUUUGGAAGAAGAUUUUUAGAAAUUUUGAAAACUUGUGAGGCUCUGAUCAAUAUUCUGAGAGAAUUCAUUAUAAAAUGCAUAUGUAUUCAAGUUCUACAACAAAAAAGAAAUUAAAUACUAAUGGGGAAAAAUUUAGUAAAAUACCAAAAUAUUAUGCACAAAAUAAGACAAGAUCCAUUUCCAAAAAUCUUUUGACUUUCAUUUCAGCAAACUUUUUCCAUAGUAUUAUACAGCUAUAAUAAUUGUACAUUUCAGCAAAUAAUUGCCUCCUCUGAUAACUGGGUAAAAUAAGUGUUAGACAUACUAUCUUAAAAUAUUGAAAAAAAUCUACAAGGUUAUAUGAUUCUGGAAACCAUUCUGGAAAACACAUAAAUGACCAAAUAAUUUCAUUUUUCACAAACAGUGGACAUGCACACAUACUUAAAUUCUAUUUAAAACUUGACCAAUCCCUUCAUAUAAAAGACUUACAAUAGAUGGAUGGGUAUUGAUAAAAAAAACAAGUCCUUAAUCUAGAAAAAUUGGAAAAAAAAUUAAAAUAGAUAAUUAACAUGAUUAAAUAUCUUACAUCAACAAUGUUUGCUCCAAAUAACAAAAAAAAACAUAUACCAUUAGAUAACAUAUGAGACCCUUUUUUUGCUUUUCAGAAUGAGACUGCACAGUCAAGAUUGGAGGAUAACAAUUUCAAUAAUAUAACAACUAACUCAAAUAAAAGAGAUGGUAUGUAUAGGUAGGACUCAAUUCUAUGGUGGGUUCCAAAUCUAUGGCAAAUAUGACGUUAUAAAUCAAAUCUAUGGCAGUUUUUUGUAUUCUCCAAAUCUAUGGCAGAUCUUGAAUUUGUGUAAUUUUCCAGGAAAAACAUAUAACAUCACAAUCAAAUAGUACCACAUUAUAACCCACAGAUUUGUACACCAUUUAUUUAAGGAUUAUUUUUUUAUUUUUAAUUAAAAUAUAAAUCAAAAACAAAUAAUUUACAAGGGGUUUAAAGAUUUUUACAAACAAAUGCACAAUACCCUUUUUGCAUUCCCUCUAGAACAAUUUGGCGAUGGUUUAAAGGAAAGGAAGAUGUGCUGAACCUUCUGAAUCAAGCCUUAAAUAAAGGCACCGCUGAUUUUAGUAGUGAUAUUUUUGUUAGGAAAGAAGUUAUGAAUUUUAGUGUUUGGUGUGUUUUGAAGUUCUGGUAACAAUUUCAUUUAUUUGGAUUAAUUUAACUAGAGAGGGAAAUGAUAAACCGAUUUCCACCUUGAAGCAAUUUAUUUAUGUGAUACCUUUAUGUUAUACUUUUAUGUUUAAAUGUAAAUUUCAGAAAAUAGUUCACCAAUACCAAAACUACAGUCACCAAAAUCUGUAAACAGAUCCUCACCAACACCUAAACAGAGUAAAGAAUGGGUAAGAUCUAUCACUGCAUCCUUUGAAAAUAAAAUUAUUCGAACGUUAAGUCCAGUAUAUCUAUAAAUGAUGUACAUGUUACACUUUUGUGUUUUAGUAAAUCUUGUAUCAUAUCUGCCUUGAUCUUUUAGUAUCUUGGUGUGAUUUGUGCGUGCUCAGAAAUAAUAUCAGAAGUGACAAAAGCUACGACAACAAACAUUUAGUAUGUAACAAUUUCCUGCAAACUUUUAUGUUUUCAGAUUUUCUUGAUACUUAUUUCUGUUAAGGGCAAACAGACUACCUCUUCUUCUUCUUCUUCUUCUUCCGAAUACGGGAGUAGACUCCUAGGUAGGAGUGUAAAACUUCCUGGAGAGUGAAUUGUAGUACAAUUGUGUCCAACCACCAAAUAAAUGUUUGUGACAAAUUAAAUUCGGAUAGUUAAGAAUGUUACUGCCCGUAAGAAUAUUAUUAUACACUGAGUGAGAGGUAUAAAAAUAUGCAUAACAAUGUUAAAUAUUUUUGAACAUAAAGGGGAGCAUAAAGGGGAGAAUAAUUCAUUUUGUACUGCAUUAUCUUUUAUUUUGUAGCUGAAAUUUGAAGAUGACAAUUUAGAUGAUGAUUUUUCAAGGUAAUGCGUUUAUAAUGUAUUUAUUUAGGGCUAUUCCAGAAAAAAAUGUAUGGGGGGGUUGGAAGGCACAUUAUAUUAAUAAUACACGGGUGAUGGGUAUCAGAGCAACUUUUCAUUUUGCAUAAUUUAGUCAUAGUCUGGUUUGAGACAUGGUUAUUUUGUUAAAUUUAGGGUCAACAUAUUCCACCAUUUGCCCUUCAUAGUUAUUCUAACACUACAAAAGGGGUGGGUGGUGGGGUUUAUUGGUUUACUUUUGUCGUCUGUCUGUCUGUACAUCAUGUACAUAUUUUCAUGAAAACAAGGAGAUGUGGUAUGAUUGAUUGUUUUAAAUGGUUGCUAUGGAAACAAACUAGUUAGUAAAUUCAAAAUUUUAACGUUUUUGUAUAGUUUGGGGUUUUGUUUGUCAAUACUGUAAAUAUUCAUAUUGUUUGAAUUGAUUAACUUUAUUUCUAUGGGACUUUAAAUUCCCUUAUUUUAUAUUUUCAAAAGGGUCUUUUUUUCACAUAUUCAGGCAAAAUGUUGAUUUGAUGGUUACCAUGGCAACGGGCUUAAUACAGGGAAAAUAAAGACAGAAUUUUACUCAUCUACCAAAGUUCUUAUGAUAUAGGGCAAAAACAAUUACUUCUGUGACAUGUCAUGAAUCACCUUCUGCAUGAUUUUUACAAAGACCGGUACUUAAUGAGACAACUAUUCAUCAGAGAUCAAAUAUAAGCACUCUUAUUUAUGUAGUGUUCAAAGUUAUAUGGGAAUAAAAAUUAUCCUUAAAUUGAUAACGGAUAAAUAUCUUGUUAGGGUAGCAUAUAAUUUGUUAAUUAAGUAAUGAAUAAUGUUCAGUCUCUGUAUUAAUGGAGUGACAUUAUCAAUCCACCAUUCUGUCUUUCAAGAAGGCCCAUCAGGGAUUGAAAAAGGUCAUUUAGUUAUCACUAGACGCUGUUAAUUAUGUGUAUUUUGGUAUUGCAUAUACUUUGUCAUGUUUGUAUUUGUCAUAAAUUUAUUAUUACUGAUAUUUCUUGCAGAUAUAGAUUUGUCUAUGUUGUCUGUUCAGUAUUUUUUUUUUUAUUAUUUUUUCCAGGCUGGCAGAAAAUAGAAUAAGAAAAGUAGCUGAAGGACCACCUAGAAUGGACAAGAUACCAUCCUUCCAUACAAAUUUAAAAAAAGAAGAUAUGGACGAUUCUAUUACAAAAUACCUAGACACAAAAACAUGUAAUGAGGAAUUUUCUCGCCAAAGGUCAAUGGAAGAUCUGCUUGUAAUAUAACUGCCUAACUGCCGCCUGAUCUCACUAAUAACCACACAGGGUACUGAAAUCAUCCAUUCAACCAUAAUACCAGUGCUAUAGAUCUGACAGGUAACCAGUCAGGAAACCAAAUCAUGCCAUGUGCUUUUAUUGCAGAUCUGACUAAGUACCAAAAGUAGGGUACACAUGUAUCAGAUAAUGCCAUCCAAUUAUAAUCACAAGUGCUUAUUUGUUAUUAAGUUUUUGUAGUGCUUUGUAUUUGUCUCUAUGAGAUAUAUAAAUGCACUUUUAAUGUUGCUCAGAAAUUAUUUUUAUAGUUUGGGUUAUGCAGGAUGUGAAUAUAAGUUUUUUUAUGCAUGUUGAAAGUCUUAUAGUCUUAUGUUUUUUUUCCCCCAUAAAAAGGACCUUCUAAAGAAAACUUGUUCUUAAAACUCACACACUUUAAAUUUGAUUAAAGUUAGUAAGAUCAUUUAAACCAAACUGCAUCCAUUUCCUCUUGUUGUUACCUGAUUUAUAGAUAACUGCUUUUUUUCCCUUAAACCCCCUGCCCCCCCCCAAAAAAAAAAUAUAAAAAAAUUUACAAAUUUUUGUCAACAUAUCUUGGAUUGCUAAUUUAUAAUUUUUGAAUUAAAGAAAAUUAAUUACUUGUGCAGUUGCAUUCCCUGUUCUGGUUAAUGAGCUUAUACAUUUGUGCCAUUUGCUGUUAUACGUUUUUUAUAACUUUUUUUUCUCAGUACUUAGCUAAAGCCAUGUGUUUUUCAAAUUAUCGAGAUUUUAGCAAUAUUGUGAAAGAUUAAAAACAAGGUUUAUGUCUGGAAGUGAGUAAGAGUUGAUUAAAAUAUUAGUAAAAUAUGGAAAUGGAUACAUUUUUUGUUUUGUUAUUCAAGUUCAUUUAAUUAAUUAUAAACAUGCACAGAAACAAAUCUGAAGCACUUACACAUACACACACAGAGAAAAUUUUAAACUAAUAAAUAGCAUUCAAAGGAAUAAUGAUCAAAAUAAUAAAAUGUAAAAACCCUCAAGCCUUGAAUUGAAUCCUAUCUAGCAAUUUAAUUUGGUUAAUACACAAGUGCCUGAAUAUAUAGAUAAAGAGAAUUCAAAGUAAAAACUUUUUGAAAAAAAAUUUUAAAAUGAAUAAUUGAUAAGAAAAUAAUAAAAGAGUUGCCAAACUAUGUAAGAGCCGUCAAUCCUUCAAAGGAAUUUGCAUCUAUCUAGCAUUGUCAUUUGAUUUCUGGGCAAGUGCCUAAACAAGGUUUGUAAGAGCCGUCUAUCCUUCAAAAGAAUUUGCAUCUAUCUGGUAUUGUCAUUUGAUUUAUAGGCAAGCAAGUUCCUACAAAAAGUGGGUAAGUGCCGUCAAUCCGUUAAAGGCGUUGUCAUCUAUCUAGCAUUGUCAUUUGAUUUCUGGGCAAGUGCCUACAAAAAGUGUGUAAGAGCCGUCAAUCCUUUAAAUGAGUUGACAUCAAUCUAGCAUUGUCAUUUGAUUUCUGGGCAAGUGGCUACAAAAAGUGUGUGAGAGCCGUCAAUCCGUUAAAGGCGUUGUCAUCUAUCUAGCAUUGUCAUUUGAUUUCUAGGCAAGUUCCUACAAAAAGUGUGUAAGAGCCGUCAAUCCUUUAAAUGAGUUGACAUCAAUCUAGCAUUGUCAUUUGAUUUCUAGGCAAGUUCCUACAAAAAGUGUGUAAGAGCCGUCAAUCCUUUAAAUGAGUUGACAUCAAUCUAGCAUUGUCAUUUGAUUUCUGGGCAAGUGGCUACAAAAAGUGUGUGAGAACCGUCAAUCCGUUAAAGGCGUUGUCUUCUAUCUAGCAUUGUCAUUUGAUUUCUGGGCAAGUGCCUACAAAAAGUGUGUAAGAGCUGUCAAUCCUUGAAAUGAGUUGACAUCAAUCUAGCACUGUCAUUUGAUUUCUGGGCAAGUGUCUACAAAAAGUGUGUGAGAGCCGUCAAACCGUUAAAGGCGUUGUCAUCUAUCUAGCAUUGUCAUUUGAUUUCUGGGCAAGUGCCUACAAAAAGUGUGUAAGAGCCGUUAAUCCGUUAAAGGCGUUGUCAUCAAUCUAGCAUUGUCAUUUGAUUUCUGGGCAAGUGCCUACAAAAAGUGUGUGAGAGCCGUCAAUCCUUUAAAUGAGUUGACAUCUAUCUAGCAUUGUCAUUUGAUUUCUGGGCAAGUUCCUACAAAAAGUGUGUAAGAGCUGUCAAUCCUUUAAAUGAGUUGACAUCAAUCUAGCAUUGUCAUUUGAUUUCUGGGCAAGUGCUCACAAAAAGUGUGUGAGAGCCGUCAAUCCGUUAAAGGCGUUGUCUUCUAUCUAGCAUUGUCAUUUGAUUUCUGGGCAAGUGCCUACAAAAAGUGUGUAAGAGCUGUCAAACCGUUAAAGGCGUUGUCAUCUAUCUAGCAUUGUCAUUUGAUUUCUCGGCAAGUGCCUACAAAAAGUGUGUAAGAGCCGUCAAUCCAUUAAAGGCGUUGUCAUCUAUCUAGCAUUGUCAUUUGAUUUCUGGGCAAGUGCCUACAAAAAGUGUGUAAGAGCCGUCAAUCCUUUAAAUGAGUUGACAUCAAUCUAGCAUUGUCAUUUGAUUUCUGGGCAAGUGCCUACAAAAAAUGUGUAAGAGCCGUCAAUCCUUUAAAUGAGUUGACAUCAAUCUAGCAUUGUCAUUUGAUUUCUGGGCAAGUGCCUACAAAAAGUGUGUGAGAGCCGUCAAUCCGUUAAAUGAGUUGACAUCUAUCUAGUAUUGUCAUUUGAUUUCUGAGCAAGUGCCUACAAAAAGUGUGUAAGAGCUGUCAAUCCUUUAAAUGAGUUGACAUCAAUCUAGCAUUGUCAUUUGAUUUCUGGGCAAGUGCCUACAAAAAGUGUGUGAGAGCCGUCAAUCCGUUAAAGGCGUUGUCAUCUAUCUAGCAUUGUCAUUUGAUUUCUGGGCAAGUGCCUACAAAAAGUGUGUAAGAGCUGUCAAUCCGUUAAAGGCGUUGUCAUCUAUCUAGCAUUGUUAUUUGAUUUCUGGGCAAGUGCCUACAAAAAGUGUGUAAGAGCCGUCAAUCCUUUAAAUGAGUUGACAUCAAUCUAGCAUUGUCAUUUGAUUUCUGGGCAAGUGCCUACAAAAAGUGUGUAAGAGCCGUCAAUCCUUUAAAUGAGUUGACAUCAAUCUAGCAUUGUCAUUCGAUUUCUGGGCAAGAGCCUACAAAAAGUGUGUAAGAGCCGUCAAUCCUUUAAAUGAGUUGACAUCAAUCUAGCAUUGUCAUUUGAUUUCUGGGCAAGUGCCUACAAAAAGUGUGCGAGAGCCGUCAAUCCGUUAAAUGAGUUGUCAUCAAUCUAAUAUUGUCAUUUGAUUUCUGGGCAAGUGCCUACAAAAAGUGUGUAAGAGCAGUCAAUCCUUGAAAUGAGUUGACAUCAAUCUAGCAUUGUCAUUUGAUUUCUGGGAAAGUGCCUACAAAAUGUGUGUUAGAUCCGUCAAUCCUUUGAAGGAGAUGUCAUCUAUCUAGCAUUGUCAUUUGAUUUCUGGGCAAGUGCCUACAAAAAGUGUGUUAGAUCCGUCAAUCCUUUGAAGGAGAUGUCAUCUAUCUAGCAUUGUCAUUUGAUUUCUGGGCAAGGGCCAACAAAAAGUGUGUAAGAGCUGUCAAUCUGUUAAAUGAGUUGACAUCAAUCUAGCAUUGUCAUUUGAUUUCUGGGAAAGUGCCUACAAAAAGUGUGUUAGAUCCGUCAAUCCUUUGAAGGAGAUGUCAUCUAUCUAGCAUUGUCAUUUGAUUUCUGGUCAAUUUCCUACAAAAAGUGUGUAAGAGCUGUUAAUCCUUUAAAGGCGUUGUCAUCUAUCUAGCAUUGUCAUUUGUUAUUUGGAUAAGUCCCUAUAUACACAGAAAAUUUGAAACUGCAGAAUAGCAGUGGACUGACUAUAUACUAAAAAAAGUAUGUAAGAGUCCUCAAACCUUGAAAUGAAUUCUCAUCUAGCAUGGAAAUUUUUUAAUUGGUGAACGAAAACUGAUUGAAACAUUGCGUACAUCAUGUACAUACCAACAGAUAAAUAAUUUUUUCAUUUUUCUGGUCAGUUUAUGAAUUAUUUAUGAGAACAGAAAGAAGCCUAAAACCCACAUGCACAAUCAGCCACAGAAAAUUUUAAGAACUUGAAUUGCUAGUCUAAUGAGAGAAAAAAAAAUGUAUGUAAAGACUUCAAAACUUGAAAUUAAGCAUGCAUACACAGUGAGAUUUAAGUUGCAAAAAGUUGUUUGCUGGAAUUGAGAAAGAGUUUUUUGAAAACUGAAUUAAAUAUUGCAUAUAUACACAGGCAGAUGAAUAAUUGAGUUGGCACUGAUUUUUUUUCUCUCACCCUGUUCAGUUAUUUGAUUUUUAAAUACACAGAAAAUAGCAUUUAAAGAAUAUAUACUUAGAUAAUUUGAAACUGGUGAAAAGUAGUGAAAUGAAAAAUGAAUCAAUUUGUUAAAGCCUUUUAACCUAGAAAUGAAUUCACAUCAAACGUAAGGAAUUGAUAAUGGUACCAGUUCUCAAAUACAUACAUAGAGAGUGAUUCUUCUUGAAAAGAGUUGUAUAUGUGAAUUGAGAAAGAGCUAUGUGAAAACUGACUUACAAAUUGCAUACACUAAUAACUUAUUGUGUUGGCCCCAAAAGUAAUAUUUAUUCCUGUAUAAUUCAUAAAUUAUUUAUAUGCAUUAAAAAAAAAACCAAAGCACAAACAUACACACAGAAAUUUAAAAAAAUGUUUACUAGCAGUCAAAUAUAUAAUUAAAAAGUAUGUCUACUUUCUCCCUAUCUUGAACAACCAAUAUUGGCCUAGAGCUGUUUUCUGCUCUUUGGUUGCAUUACUGUCUUUAUUCCCCAUUUCCAUUCUCAAACAUCCCUCAAACCUUGAAAUGGAUUUGCAUCUAUUGUUGUAAUUUGAUUGUUGAUCAAGUCUGAAUCAAGUCCAAUAAUUUGAUUUCUAGACAAAAGCCUACCAAAAGUGUUUAAGUGCCGUCAAUCCGUCAAAUGAGUUAGCAUCAAUCUAGCAUUGUCAUUUGAUUUCUGGGCAAGUGCCUACAAAAAGUGUGUAAGAGCCGUCAAUCCUUUAAAUGAGUUGACAUCAAUCUAGCAUUGUCAUUUGAUUUCUAGGCAUGUUCCUACAAAAAGUGUGUAAGAGCCGUCAAUCCGUUAAAGGCGUUGUCAUCUAUCUAGCAUUGUCAUUGAUUUCUGGACAAGUUUCCAUUCUCUUUUCCAAGAUUCUUCAAACCUUGAAAUAUAUUUGCAUCUAGCGUUGGUUAUUUGAUUGUUGUGCAGGUCCUCAAGUUCAUUUAAAAUCCUUAAAUUGCAGUCAAAAGGAAAUGUAAUAGUCUUUAAGAGCAGCCAAUCUUUAAAGAGAUUUAUGUCAAGUGAAGUAAUUUUACGACAAGUUUCUGAAUACAUAAAAACAAUGAGAGUGCACUAAUAAAAAUGUUUGUAAGAGCUGUCAAACCUUGAAAUAGAUUUGCAUCUAAUGUAAUAAUUUGAUUUCUGUUUGCACACAUACACCCUCAGAAAAUUUGAAACUCUUGAAUAGCAGUCUUACUAAUACAUGUAAUAAAUAUUUAAAAAAGUCUGAAAGAGCAGUCAAUCCUUUAAAGACAUUUUCGUCAAGUGAAGUAAUUUUAUUUGUUAGAGCCGUCAAAUCUCGAAAUACAUUUUCAUCCAGUGUUGUAAUUUGUUUGCUGUACAAUUCCUCAGAUACAUUUAAAAUUCUUGAAUAGCAGUCAAAAUAAAAAUUAAAAAUGUCUUAAGAGCAUUCAAACCUUUAAAGAGGUUUUCGUCAAGUGAAAUAAUUUUAUGUAGAACAAGUUCAUGAAAUACAAUGAGAGUGCACUAAUAAAAAGGUUUUUAAGAGCAGUUAAACCUCGAAAUAGAUUUGCAUCUAAUGUAAUUAUUUGAUUUCUGUUUGCACACAUACACCCACAGAAAAUUUGAAACUCUUGAAUAGCUGUCUUACUAAUACAUGUAAUAAAUAAUUAAAAAAGUCUGAAAGAGCAGUCAAUCCUUUAAAAACAUUCUCGUCAAGUGAAGUAAUUUUGUUUGUUAGAGCCGUUAAUCCUCGAAAUAGAUUUUCAUCCAGUGUUGUAAUUUGAUUGCUGUACAAGUCCUCAGAUACAUUUAAAAUUCUUAAAUAGCUGUCAAAAUAAAAAUUAAAAAUGUCUAAGAUCAUUUUAAGAACAAGUUCCCAGAUACAUAAAUACAAAGACGAUUGCACUAAUAAAAAUGUUUGUAAGAGUUGUCAAACCUCGAAAUAUAUUUGCAUCUAAUGUAAUAAUUGAUUUCUGUUUGCACACAUACACCCUCAGAAAAUUUGAAACUCUUGAAUAGCAGUCUUACUAAUAAAUAAUUAAAAAAGUCUGAAAGAGCAGUCAAUCCUUUAAAGACAUUUUCAUCAAGUGAAGUAAUUUUGUUUGUAAGAGCCGUUAAUCCUCGAAAUAGAUUUUCAUCCAGUGUUGUAAUUUGAUUGCUGUACAAGUCCUCAAAUACAUUUAAAAUUCUUGAAUAGCAAAAUAAAAAUAAUUAAUUAAUUAUUAAUUAAUAGAUGAUAAAAACGUCUAAGAGCAUUCAAACCUUUGAAGAGGUUUUCGUCAAGUGAAAUAAUUUUACUUAAGAACUAGUUCCCAGAUACAUAAAUACAAAGACGAUUGCACAAAUAAAAAUGUUUGUAAGAGCUGUCAAACCUCGAAAUAUAUUUGCAUAGCUGUCUUACUAAUAAAUAAUUAAAAAGGUCUGAAAGAGCAGUCAAUCCUUUGAAGAGGUUUUCAUCAAGUGAAAUAAUUUUACUUUUUCGACAAGUUCCCAAAUACAUAAAUACAAAUUAAAGAGGACUACUAUAAUAAUUAAAAAAGUCUGAAAGAGCCGUCAAAAGAAAAAUAAAAAAGUCUGUAAGAGCAUUCAAAUCUUUAAAGAGAUUUUCGUCAAGUGAGAUAAUUUUAUUGUAGGACAUGUUCCCAAAUACAUAAAUUCAAAGAGGAUUGCAUUAAUAAAAAUCUUGAAAGAGCUGUCAAACCUCGAAAUGGAUUUUCAUCUAGUGUAGUAAUUUGCUUUCUGUUUGCACACAUACACCCUCAGAACAUUUACAACUCUAGAGUAGCAGUCUUAUUAAUUAAUAGAUGAUAAAAGAGUCUGAAAGAGCAGUUAAUCCUUGAAAUAGAUUUUCAUCCAGUGAAGUAAUUUGAAUUUUUAAAUUCUUUAAUACAAGUGAGAUUAAUGUGAAAAAAAGUUGGCCACUGGAAGUGAGAUAAAGCUGUAUCGAAACUGAUUAAAAUAUUGCAUACAGUACCUGACAGAUUUAAAAUAAUAAUAAUAAUUAUAAUUCUUUAUUUAAAAUGGGUUUCACUGUUAGCUAUAAAACUAAUCUUAUCUGAGGCCCUCAUAAAAUACAAUGAAACAUAACAAACAAUUACAAAAUAUUAAAAAAACACACAUAUAUGAACAAAUGAAAUAAAAAAUUGUUAAGAAAUAUACAAUUUUCCAAACAGGUAAAAAUUACAAAUUCAUAUAGUAUUGGCAUCAUUUAAAUUACCUCAAAAACAUCUUAAGUUUGAUUAAGUGUGUGAAAAUUAUUAUGCAUAUAAAAUUUCACAGCUUCUUAAUGUUCCAAUGUUAUUAUUCAUGUAUGGCUAAAUGAUUAACGUCAAAAUAGGUUUAAGGUCUGCUUUAAAACAUGAAAAAUUCUUGGCCUCAGAUAGUUUUGCAGCUUAAUUAAUGAUGAACUUGAAUACAAAAAUCUACAUCUUAGUUGCACCAUUUUACAACAGUAAAUUAAUGGUAGUCUAGGUAAACUUAAGUGUAGAUCUUCUGAUGUGAAAUAUUUAUGAUCAUGUGCAUCGUUUUGGAAAUGUUCCAUACAGAAUUCUACAUGUCUGUAAUAUUUUUUAUUUUUUCCGUUUUCAAAUGUAUUGUAAAUUCAGAAAUAAUUGAAUGCAUUUAUUGUUGCGAUUUUGUCAUUUAAGACUAAAUUUUGUGAUAUUGAGAAAAAUCCUGUGUUAUUCAUAUAACAUAUUUCAAAAUGUGUGUUUAAAUUAUUGCGAUUAUAACCCUGUCACAUUUUUCGCAAUAAUUUCUGAAUUUACAGUAUUUGUGAUCAAAUGCAUUGUUUUGGAAAGGCUCCAUACAGAAAGCUAAAUGUCUGUUAUAUUUUUAAUUUUUUUUCCAUUUUUGAAUACAUGUAUUUUGAUGUUGAUCUGUUUAUGCUGAAAGCAAAUUUGUAGUUUUAAUACAUUUUGCAUGAAAAUAGUAUAACUGUCAUCACUGUUUUUUUUUCCGUUCAUGAAUAUUCAUGUAACAUUUCAUUUGCAAGAAAGUCAGUGCCAAAAGUUUGGCAAGCAAAAGAUAAUAGUAACUGCUAGUAAUUUCAAGGGGGGGGGGAAUAAAAUGACCUAAUAGAAUUUGCUUUUCUUCCUGGUUUCCUCAUAUGAAGCCACACUUAAAAUAUUUUGGUUGGCCCAAACCCUACCUAAAGAUUUAGACUGUGGGUAGGUAGGUAGGCAUUUUCUUGGGAUUUUUCGGCAAGAAGAAAUUGAACUGUCAGCUGUUUUUAGUGUUCAUGCCAACUGAUUAAAAACAACCCCAACUUUUUAACAUCCAGACAAGAAAAGAUUUUGAGUAGGUAAAUAUUUUCUGGUAGGUUAGGUAGGUUUAUGGCAAACAAAUGUUAUCUUUUUUAUGACCUGACCGACCUCCUUUUGAAAAAAGAGUAUGUUUUAUUAGCCUCUAUUAUUUGCUUGCAUUUUCUACCUCAUAUUCCCCUCACUCCUCAGGCUUCCUAGAGUAACUGCAUUAGGGGAUUUAGUUGAUUUUUUAAGUCUAAAAAAUAAGUAUUGUAAUCUACUAGUCCUGUGUAAAUGAAGGUGAAUUCUUUGAAGCCAGAGAAAAUAAUUUCCUAGAUUCACAUCUCUGAUUUUCACUGUAUUUAUUUUUUGCAGUGAUUUGUUUAGAAAGUAAAAGAAAUAUGUAUUUUUCAAGUGGGAAAUUGAUUAUACCAGGAAAAUAUAAUGACAUUUUACCUGUUUGCAAAUUUUUUAUGAAAGUUGAUGUGAAUUUAAGAAUUAUUUUGUAUGGCCUAAUCAAAAGUUUUUGCAGCAUUUAGUAAUGCACACAGACAAAAAAAUGGCUUCUAAUAUUGUUUUCAAAAUCUAUUGAAUUGCAAUUCUAAGCAUUAGUUAAUUUUUGGAAGAUUAAAACACACUUUCAUUUAUAUAUUUUUUUUUAAAUGUUUUUUUUUUGCUAUUCAAAGUCAAAAGGGACUGAUCAUGAGUUUAGAAACAGGGUAUACUGAUUCUAAUUGGUUAAAAUGAUUUAUAAAAAAUGUAAUAUUACCAAGCACUUGUCUGUUUAUAUUUUUUGGGGAAUUUAUUGUUUUGUUUAGGGAUUCUGUCUCAUUUAUGUAACAACAAAAUUAUGUAUUUACAUGCCAUGUCUAGAAAUUAAGCUCAAUCCGAAAUGUAUUGAAUCAAUGCCAAUUUGAAUUUUAUUUUUAAAAUUUAUUAAAUGAAGUUUAUCACCAUUUUAAUUAAAUGUAAAAUGAUCAAAUAAAUGAAUAAUUUUCAAAACAAGAACCUAGAAUUAAAAAAAAAAAAAAAAAAAAUAAAUGUGUUGCUUACACAAUAAUUUGUGAAUUUAAAAGAAAUCAAUAUAAUAUUGCUUAUUCAGCCUUAUUUAUAGCAGACAAAUUUAUUAUUUCAAUGUACCUUUUAUUAUAAUCUGAUGUGUAUAUCAAAAGUUUUUAGAUUAAAUAACAAAUUAAAUCACAACAUUUGUAUGUAUAGAUACUGAAAUUAUAUUAAUAAAUAAAAUGCAAUACCUCAUGUAUGAUAAAUGGGGUUUUACUUGCAAUAUAAUGACUGUGUUAUCAAGAAUAAUGUAUAAAGAAAAUAAUAUGUUAUAUAUUGUCCAUAUAGUCUAUGCAUUACACAGUAAUACACAUGUACAAUAGUUAGAAACUAAUUGCUUUAUAAUAUCUAGUUAUAAUUAUAAGUAACCAUACUGAUGGGCCAAGGAAACUUAUCUUAAUUGAUGCACUACUUUUGAAUGAGGAUGGAGUUAGGGUAUAGAAAGGUUUCAAUAUGACAUAAUUUGAGUGAGUUAAUUCCCAUGGCCCCCAUUUUAAUAGUUGACUUUUAUUUGACUAACCAAAUGAAACAUGUUAUACAGCCUGGUCUGAUAAGAGAUCCUUACUAGAUCGUAGUGAAAAACAAACAAAGCUUCAGGAAAUUCAAAUUUGUCAGAAAACAAGCAACUUUUUCUAAUAUCUAGCUGUCAAGAUAUCAAGUUAAAUUUUGUGUAAAAAUGAAAUUGUAUAUAUAGAGCUCCAAAUUGGUUACUAAAGGGAAGUUACAUCUUGCUCAAAUUUUGUCAAUGGAAAUCGAUCUAUUAACAAGAGUCCACAGUAUUUGUGACUAGGAUUGUUUUAUGAACUUGCUUUAUCUGUGAUUUCAAUUUAAUUAACUAUAUAUAUAUAUAUAUGUAAUACCAAUGCAAUGCUUUAUUAUUUUUCCAUGCAAAGAUUUAUUCAUAUGUAUGUUUUAAUUUUAUUGCAUAUAUUUUACGAAAAAUAUGCAACAAGGUCCCUGGGUUAGAAUAAAUUAAUUAAAAAUGGUUGGCUGAAUUGACAUAACUUAAUUUUGCCAGUGAAUUGCCACAAUGUAUUUUAUAGCCUUCCUAUUAAUGUGUCUCAACUACAAAGUCAUUUUUCAUUCAUUAUUUUCAUGCUAAAUUCACUUUUUGAAGAUAUGUAUUUUUGUUGAAGAAAUUUUUCAUAAAAAAUAAGUGUUUUUCUUGGCAAAGCUAGAAAUACAUCAAUGUGUUCACAAAAUCCCAGAGAUUGGUCAGAUAUAUAAUUUGAUAUAAAACCUAGUUUAGAUAUAUUACGUGCCAUUAUUAUAUUCAUCAAGGUUGUUUAUGAGGUUAAAAUCUCUUUUUUUUUCAUAAAACCCAAAGGGAUCACCAUAGUCUAUUGUUAGAGUAAAGGUUUCCCCAACACCACUCUCAUUACUUCUCUCCCAACCCUGUGUCUUCUCACACGGUCAUUAAACUUCCUGUUAUAGACAUCAAACUUCAAAGUUUUGCUUUAAAUCUAUACUUUGAAUUAAUGACCAGAAUUUUCAUUGGCCAACUUUUAACCAUUAUAAUUGAUUGAAGUUUUCAUCCAACUUCAACUGCUUUCCACAUUUAAAACUAAUUCUGGUAAAUUUUAUAGAGUUAUCUCCCUGUUGUGUUAAGCUGUGUAUUUAUAUUUGUGAAUCUGCAGCAGUUGAUCGUAAUACCUGAUAAAUAAAUGCAACUUUCAUACAUGAUAAAGAGAAUUAUUCCACAAGAUUGAGUGUGAAUUUUCUUUUUUGAGAUUUUGUCUUGCACAUAUUUAACUUCUAUAUAUAAAUUUAAAAGUAGAGAAAAAUGUGUAAUUCUCUAUACAGGUACAAGUGAAAAUUUCAAAAAAAAAAAAAAGGAGGGAGAAAACCAGAACAGACACAAGUAUCAGAGUGGUCUAUUCUGUGAUGGUCCCAAAUCUAACUAGUCUUGUUUUUUCUAUGGUCGGGUUGUUGUCUCUGACAUAUUCCCAAUUUCCAUUCUCAAUUUUAUUAGUACAAAACUAAUUUGUUAUUGAAAAGUUUCAAUUUUGAUGAAACUCAUAUGGAAAAUAUUUUGUCUACAUUUUCUGUUGUAAGAUAUAGUUAUAUACUGUAAAAUCAUAAACUAGCAUUAAGGUGGUACCCAUGUGAAUUCUUGACAAACACAAAAAUGUGAAAUAUGUGUAAUGUGAAAGCAAACAUUUUACAUGUAUCAAGGAAAAUCACUACUGAAAUUAUUAUGGAGAACCUAAGACUGUCCCAUUUUCUCAUUAAUCAAUGAAUUUACAGUUCACCAUUAUUUUUUGACAAUGCUGCACUAUGCCACCAAAUCAUUUUCCAUGUAGUUAUUUUCCAAUCAAAUCACAUAAGCUGUAAUCAUUCAUGCAUGAAGUGAGACGCUUACAUUAUAAUUUUUGAUGAUAAACAGUAUCAGUUGGCAAGCCCCAUCAAGUUAAAACAUGUAAUACUAUUUAUAAUAAUUAAUAUUUAGUUAUAUAUUUCCCCUUUUAAGUUUGUACAAGUACAAAAUAUAUUAUAUUAAGCAUGAAAUGGAUUGUAAGUAUAAUAUUGUAUAUUGUUAAAAAAAAGUUAUUUGCAUUUUGCCAGUAUAUUUCAUUAUCUGGUUGUCAUCUUUAAUCUAUAACCAUGGUAACAGCUUUUUGUUUAUUUGUUGGCAUUUUUUUUACUAAUCAUUAUGCAAUGCAAGUUCUCAGGCUUAAGUUUUGUUUUAAAUGUUUAGUUUGUUACUUAGAUAUCUGAAUUUGUAGAUCUAAAUCAUGUAAUUUUGUUGAAAACUUAAUAAAUUUUUUAC
This 23522-nucleotide long non-coding RNA is filed under the name Mytilus galloprovincialis (Mediterranean mussel). The record is from RNAcentral. Lineage: Eukaryota; Metazoa; Mollusca; Bivalvia; Mytilida; Mytilidae.